RNAcentral lists this ribosomal RNA (115 nucleotides) under Deltaproteobacteria bacterium. The record is from RNAcentral. Lineage: Bacteria; Pseudomonadati; Myxococcota; Myxococcia.
CCCGGUGACCACAGCGGAGGGGAAACACCCGUUCCCAUUCCGAAUACGGAAGUUAAGCCCUCCAGCGCCGAUGGUACUGCCCCUUGAGGGGUGGGAGAGUAGGUCAUUGCCGGGG